CACCGCGGUUAUACGAGAGGCCCAAGUUGAUACCAUUCGGCGUAAAGAGUGGUUAGGAUAAACAAAUACUAAAGCCGCACACCUUCAAAGCUGUUAUACGCACCCGAAGGCCAGAAGCUCAACCACGAAGGUAGCUUUAUAACCCUGACCCCACGAAAGCUUUGGCA
RNAcentral lists this ribosomal RNA (167 nucleotides) under Lythrichthys eulabes. RNAcentral's name for it is "partial 12S rRNA". Lineage: Eukaryota; Metazoa; Chordata; Actinopteri; Perciformes; Setarchidae. The record is from RNAcentral.